AAAAGAUGUGAGUUCUUUGUGUGC
RNAcentral lists this non-coding RNA (24 nucleotides) under Cricetulus griseus (Chinese hamster). The record is from RNAcentral. Lineage: Eukaryota; Metazoa; Chordata; Mammalia; Rodentia; Cricetidae.